This 708-nucleotide long non-coding RNA is filed under the name Erythranthe guttata (spotted monkey flower). Its description in RNAcentral is "long non-coding RNA (EGUT_LNC001560)". The record is from RNAcentral. Lineage: Eukaryota; Viridiplantae; Streptophyta; Magnoliopsida; Lamiales; Phrymaceae.
ACUAAACUAAAUUAAACCAGAAAAUGAAUUUUAAAAAAUCGUAAAAAUUUGCAGAGAAAUAGAAGAAAUUACGAAAAUUGAAUUUUGGGCAUUUAGAAUUCAUUCAAACACAACAACCCUCUGCUUCCAAAUCUUCCUACCACUCACCUUAAAUUGCUUUUGUAAUUAUGAAUUAAUCCCCAAGUGUUGGGAGAAAUCGUGGACCCCAAAUUGUUGGGUGGUCUAGUUGAUAAAUCCCUUCGUCUUCGUCGGUCCACAGGCACCGAAAAAGCUUGUGGAAUUCGUCGGGUGGGACGCGUUUCUUGGCGACGAUGGGUUUAUGUUGAUCAUUUUCUUAUUGUUGUAGUCUGUUGUGGGGAUCGGAGAAGACGGUGGUGACUUGGGCGGCAGAGACAACGGUGACAGCGGCGAGGCUGAAUCGUCUUCGGUUAGAACAUUCUUCAUCAUCUCCAUCGACGAGGUCUUCAUUAUUGAAGAUGCCAUACAUUUAAGUAUUUCCUGAUUUGACACCGAGUUGGGCUAAUUGGUCGGAUUCGAGUGAAGCUCUUCAAAGGGGUGGAAAUAGAGAGAGAGAGAGAGAGAGAGAAGGGGGCACCGCCGGCAAAAAAUGAAGAAAAAAGAAUAAAAGUGUGAAAGUGAAGAGAGGGGGCGGGCAUCACCUGCAAAUGAAAAAGAAAGAAUAGGAGAGAGAGAGAAGAAAGAGAAAGA